Molecule: non-coding RNA, 110 nt
Organism: Acanthosepion pharaonis
Lineage: Eukaryota; Metazoa; Mollusca; Cephalopoda; Sepiida; Sepiidae
Source: the annotation of a GenBank genome assembly
CGAUCAAAUCAUGUUGAAACACUGGUUCUCAUUUGAUCACCAAAGUUAAGCAGUGUUGAGCCUGGUCAUUACUUAGAUGGGGGUCUACUUGGGUAUACUGCAUAUUGUAA